RNAcentral lists this ribosomal RNA (728 nucleotides) under Staphylococcus equorum. RNAcentral's name for it is "bacterial SSU rRNA". It matches the Rfam family "Bacterial small subunit ribosomal RNA", at positions 24 to 734 of the family's 1533-position model. Lineage: Bacteria; Bacillati; Bacillota; Bacilli; Caryophanales; Staphylococcaceae. The record is from RNAcentral.
UCAGGAUGAACGCUGGCGGCGUGCCUAAUACAUGCAAGUCGAGCGAACGGAUAAGGAGCUUGCUCCUUUGAAGUUAGCGGCGGACGGGUGAGUAACACGUGGGUAACCUACCUAUAAGACUGGAAUAACUUCGGGAAACCGGAGCUAAUGCCGGAUAACAUUUGGAACCGCAUGGUUCUAAAGUAAAAGAUGGUUUUGCUAUCACUUAUAGAUGGACCCGCGCCGUAUUAGCUAGUUGGUAAGGUAACGGCUUACCAAGGCAACGAUACGUAGCCGACCUGAGAGGGUGAUCGGCCACACUGGAACUGAGACACGGUCCAGACUCCUACGGGAGGCAGCAGUAGGGAAUCUUCCGCAAUGGACGAAAGUCUGACGGAGCAACGCCGCGUGAGUGAUGAAGGUUUUCGGAUCGUAAAACUCUGUUAUUAGGGAAGAACAAAUGUGUAAGUAACUGUGCACAUCUUGACGGUACCUAAUCAGAAAGCCACGGCUAACUACGUGCCAGCAGCCGCGGUAAUACGUAGGUGGCAAGCGUUAUCCGGAAUUAUUGGGCGUAAAGCGCGCGUAGGCGGUUUCUUAAGUCUGAUGUGAAAGCCCACGGCUCAACCGUGGAGGGUCAUUGGAAACUGGGAAACUUGAGUACAGAAGAGGAAAGUGGAAUUCCAUGUGUAGCGGUGAAAUGCGCAGAGAUAUGGAGGAACACCAGUGGCGAAGGCGACUUUCUGGUC